AGAUACUAAAUAGUUUAUUUUUUUCUAGGAAGUAGAACAAAUGUUUGGCAUUAUUCAUAUUCAUGCCAGCACAGUAACAUGACUAGGCAUCUUUUGAGGAUGUAGAACCUGCCUCUGUAUUCUUUCAACGUGGCGGAGAAUCUCCUUCCAAAGCUAGAACGUUGGUGACUUUUCUCAAUUGUUGUUGAGAUGCAGUGAGCCAUUUGUUGCCUCAAAAGGGGUCUCAAAUCUCACCUCUUUACCUCUGCUGGCUAGAUACUGUGGUUGUGUUGGUGCUUGCUUGCGACACUGGUAUGUUCUGCAGGUUUUUAUAGAGAUCUCGUUGAAACACGUUGGGAUUUUUGGAAAUAGUGUGAAGCAAAUAAGCCACAGAACUAGAAG
Molecule: long non-coding RNA, 381 nt
Filed under: Phaseolus vulgaris (common bean)
Lineage: Eukaryota; Viridiplantae; Streptophyta; Magnoliopsida; Fabales; Fabaceae
Description: long non-coding RNA (PVUL_LNC003148)
Source: RNAcentral